RNAcentral lists this small RNA (1063 nucleotides) under Pongo abelii (Sumatran orangutan). Its description in RNAcentral is "processed transcript". The record is from RNAcentral. Lineage: Eukaryota; Metazoa; Chordata; Mammalia; Primates; Hominidae.
GCCACUUAUUCCAUCAAAAUUGAGGGGAAACCAUACACUUUCCUGCUUGAAAAACAGUCAUUUUUACACCCACAUUUCCUGGUGUAUUUAUACAAUGAAUCAGGAACAUUGUAUGCAGAUUCUUCAUUUUCAAAGGGUCAUUGCUUUUACCAAGGAUAUGCUGCAGACAUUCCAAAAUCAGUUGUGGCACUACGCACCUGUUCUGGACUCAGGGGAUUACUGCAGUUAGAUAAUAUCAGUUAUGGUAUUGAACCACUGGAAUCUUCACCUACAUAUGAGCAUGUAGUUUAUCGAAUUAAAAAUGAUGCUAUUGGUCAUUCCUCCUUUCAAGAAAAUUAUCCUGUGGCUCAAUAUACAGAUCAGUCCUACAGGAUUCUUGUCAAAUCAGACACAAAUUCAGGUGCCAUGCUAUCGAAAAGAACUCUGAAAAUACAAAUCAUUAUGGAUAAAGCAAUGAGACAGGAUUUCACCAUGUUGGCCAGGCUAGUCUCAAACUUCUGACCUCAGGUUAUCUACCUGCCUCAGCCUCUCAAAGUGCUGGGAUUAGAAACCCACAAGGAGUCCAUUGGGGAAGACUGCCAAUAUGUCUGUUAGGGGAUACUUUAAGAACCUGUAAAAUCAACACAAGUUAUUUAUUUACAAGCACAGCAUACACAACCCCAUUUUGAAAAGGAGAAAUAGACAAGAAGAAAUGGGUAACAGGCCUCAAGCAAGUCUGAAACCCAAGAGAGCCAAUGAUGGACAUUCAGACUCCUGAAUAAUUUCCUUUGACAACAUGUCCUGCAUCUUCUAUAAACAGGCAUGCACUCAUAAAAAAUGCUGUAAUCCUGCAGAUUGUACUCUAGUUGGAGCUGCAGAAUGUGGCACUGGACCAUGCUGUAACAAUAAAACUUGUACGGCUUGUCGCUCCCAAGAAUGCAGAAAUUUUAGUGAACUAAAUAUAACAAAAUGUACUACAAAUUGUGGACAGAAUGGGGUGAUCCUGGUUAUGCUCCUCCAGAUUGUGAGCCAGCAAUGUCAUCACCAGGAGGAAGUAUCGAUGAUGGGUUUUGGCUUACAAUAG